Non-coding RNA from Ictidomys tridecemlineatus (thirteen-lined ground squirrel), 72 nucleotides. Lineage: Eukaryota; Metazoa; Chordata; Mammalia; Rodentia; Sciuridae. The record is from Rfam.
GGGGUUGUGGCUCAGCGGUAGAGUGCUCACUUAGCAUGUGUGAAGCCCUGGGUUCUAUCCUCAGCACCUCUU